AGUGAACGCUGGCGGUAGGCCUAACACAUGCAAGUCGAACGGCAGCACAGUAAGAGCUUGCUCUUACGGGUGGCGAGUGGCGGACGGGUGAGGAAUACAUCGGAAUCUACUUUUUCGUGGGGGAUAACGUAGGGAAACUUACGCUAAUACCGCAUACGACCUACGGGUGAAAGCAGUGGAUCUUCGGACCUUGCGCGAUUGAAUGAGCCGAUGUCGGAUUAGCUAGUUGGCGGGGUAAAGGCCCACCAAGGCGACGAUCCGUAGCUGGUCUGAGAGGAUGAUCAGCCACACUGGAACUGAGACACGGUCCAGAAUCCUACGGGAGGCAGCAGUGGGGAAUAUUGGACAAUGGGAGCAAGCCUGAUCCAGCCAUACCGCGUGGGUGAAGAAGGCCUUCGGGUUGUAAAGCCCUUUUGUUGGGAAAGAAAAGCAGCAGGUUAAUACCCCGCUGUUCUGACGGUACCCAAAGAAUAAGCACCGGCUAACUUCGU
RNAcentral lists this ribosomal RNA (491 nucleotides) under uncultured bacterium. Its description in RNAcentral is "partial 16S ribosomal RNA". It matches the Rfam family "Bacterial small subunit ribosomal RNA", at positions 29 to 506 of the family's 1533-position model. The record is from RNAcentral.